RNAcentral lists this ribosomal RNA (245 nucleotides) under uncultured Pedomicrobium sp. RNAcentral's name for it is "partial 16S ribosomal RNA". It matches the Rfam family "Bacterial small subunit ribosomal RNA", at positions 524 to 768 of the family's 1533-position model. The record is from RNAcentral. Lineage: Bacteria; Pseudomonadati; Pseudomonadota; Alphaproteobacteria; Hyphomicrobiales; Hyphomicrobiaceae.
UACGAAGGGAGCUAGCGUUGUUCGGAAUCACUGGGCGUAAAGCGCACGUAGGCGGAUGUGUCAGUCAGGGGUGAAAUCCCGGAGCUCAACUUCGGAACUGCCUUUGAUACAGCACGUCUUGAGUCCGAUAGAGGUGGGUGGAAUUCCUAGUGUAGAGGUGAAAUUCGUAGAUAUUAGGAAGAACACCGGUGGCGAAGGCGGCCCACUGGAUCGGUACUGACGCUGAGGUGCGAAAGCGUGGGGAG